UACGAAGGGGGCUAGCGUUGCUCGGAAUCACUGGGCGUAAAGGGUGCGUAGGCGGGUCUUUAAGUCAGGGGUGAAAUCCUGGAGCUCAACUCCAGAACUGCCUUUGAUACUGAAGAUCUUGAGUUCGGGAGAGGUGAGUGGAACUGCGAGUGUAGAGGUGAAAUUCGUAGAUAUUCGCAAGAACACCAGUGGCGAAGGCGGCUCACUGGCUCGGUACUGACGCUGAGGUGCGACAGCGUGGGGAGCAAACAGG
RNAcentral lists this ribosomal RNA (253 nucleotides) under uncultured bacterium. Its description in RNAcentral is "partial 16S ribosomal RNA". It matches the Rfam family "Bacterial small subunit ribosomal RNA", at positions 524 to 776 of the family's 1533-position model. The record is from RNAcentral.